RNAcentral lists this ribosomal RNA (659 nucleotides) under Lactobacillus sp. LQC 1693. RNAcentral's name for it is "bacterial SSU rRNA". It matches the Rfam family "Bacterial small subunit ribosomal RNA", at positions 59 to 699 of the family's 1533-position model. Lineage: Bacteria; Bacillati; Bacillota; Bacilli; Lactobacillales; Lactobacillaceae. The record is from RNAcentral.
GGGAAGUGAGUGAUGAGCUUGCUAUGAUUUCAUUUGAGUGAGUGGCGAACUGGUGAGUAACACGUGGGAAACCUGCCCAGAAGCGGGGGAUAACACCUGGAAACAGAUGCUAAUACCGCAUAACAACUUGGACCGCAUGGUCCGAGCUUGAAAGAUGGCUUCGGCUAUCACUUUUGGAUGGUCCCGCGGCGUAUUAGCUAGAUGGUGGGGUAACGGCUCACCAUGGCAAUGAUACGUAGCCGACCUGAGAGGGUAAUCGGCCACAUUGGGACUGAGACACGGCCCAAACUCCUACGGGAGGCAGCAGUAGGGAAUCUUCCACAAUGGACGAAAGUCUGAUGGAGCAACGCCGCGUGAGUGAAGAAGGGUUUCGGCUCGUAAAACUCUGUUGUUAAAGAAGAACAUAUCUGAGAGUAACUGUUCAGGUAUUGACGGUAUUUAACCAGAAAGCCACGGCUAACUACGUGCCAGCAGCCGCGGUAAUACGUAGGUGGCAAGCGUUGUCCGGAUUUAUUGGGCGUAAAGCGAGCGCAGGCGGUUUUUUAAGUCUGAUGUGAAAGCCUUCGGCUCAACCGAAGAAGUGCAUCGGAAACUGGGAAACUUGAGUGCAGAAGAGGACAGUGGAACUCCAUGUGUAGCGUGAAGGCCCUUAGAUAAAA